RNAcentral lists this ribosomal RNA (609 nucleotides) under uncultured bacterium. Its description in RNAcentral is "bacterial SSU rRNA". It matches the Rfam family "Bacterial small subunit ribosomal RNA", at positions 338 to 951 of the family's 1533-position model. The record is from RNAcentral.
CCUACGGGAGGCAGCAGUGGGGAAUAUUGGACAAUGGGCGCAAGCCUGAUCCAGCCAUGCCGCGUGCAGGAAGAAGCAUCUAUGGUGUGUAAACUGCUUUUGUACAGGAAGAAACACUCCCUCGUGAGGGAGCUUGACGGUACUGUAAGAAUAAGGACCGGCUAACUCCGUGCCAGCAGCCGCGGUAAUACGGAGGGUCCGAGCGUUAUCCGGAAUCAUUGGGUUUAAAGGGUCCGUAGGCGGUUUAAUAAGUCAGUGGUGAAAUCUGGUCGCUCAACGAUCAAACGGCCAUUGAUACUGUUAGACUUGAAUUAUAAGGAAGUAACUAGAAUAUGUAGUGUAGCGGUGAAAUGCUUAGAUAUUACAUGGAAUACCAAUUGCGAAGGCAGGUUACUACUUAUGGAUUGACGCUGAUGGACGAAAGCGUGGGGAGCGAACAGGAUUAGAUACCCUGGUAGUCCACGCCGUAAACGAUGGAUACUAGCUGUUCGGAGCAAUCUGAGUGGCUAAGCGAAAGUGAUAAGUAUCCCACCUGGGGAGUACGUUGCAAGAAUGAAACUCAAAUGAAUUGACGGCUGAGACGAGACGAGACGACGACGAGGGAGGAGG